This 424-nucleotide ribosomal RNA is filed under the name Bacteroides caccae. RNAcentral describes it as "bacterial SSU rRNA". It matches the Rfam family "Bacterial small subunit ribosomal RNA", at positions 801 to 1237 of the family's 1533-position model. Lineage: Bacteria; Pseudomonadati; Bacteroidota; Bacteroidia; Bacteroidales; Bacteroidaceae. The record is from RNAcentral.
AGUAAACGAUGAAUACUCGCUGUUGCGAUAUACAGUAAGCGGCCAAGCGAAAGCAUAAGUAUUCCACCGGGGAGUACGCCGGCAACGGUGAAACUCAAAGGAAUGACGGGGCCCGCACAAGCGGAGGAACAUGUGGUUUAAUUCGAUGAUACGCGAGGAACCUUACCCGGGCUUAAAUUGCAAAUGAAUUAUGGGGAAACCCAUAGGCCGCAAGGCAUUUGUGAAGGUGCUGCAUGGUGUCGUCAGCUCGUGCCGUGAGGUGUCGGCUUAAGUGCCAUAACGAGCGCAACCCUUAUCUUCAGUUACUAACAGGUCAUGCUGAGGACUCUGGAGAGACCGCCGUCGUAAGAUGUGAGGAAGGUGGGGACGACGUCAAAUCAGCACGGCCCUAACUCCGGGGCUACACACGUGUUACAAUGGGGGG